ACAGCCACAUCAUGUUGAAAUAGCAGUUCCCAUAUGAUCACAGAAGUUAAGCAUUGCAGAGCCUGGUCUAUACCUAGAUGGAUGACCACUUGGGAAUACCAGCUGUUA
Non-coding RNA from Acanthosepion pharaonis, 108 nucleotides. The record is from the annotation of a GenBank genome assembly. NCBI's taxonomy places the organism in Eukaryota, Metazoa, Mollusca, Cephalopoda, Sepiida, Sepiidae.